RNAcentral lists this ribosomal RNA (495 nucleotides) under uncultured bacterium. RNAcentral's name for it is "bacterial SSU rRNA". It matches the Rfam family "Bacterial small subunit ribosomal RNA", at positions 54 to 507 of the family's 1533-position model. The record is from RNAcentral.
CAUGCAAGUCGAACGAAGUGGCCCAUUGAAGAUGGAGUGCUUGCACAAAGUCAGAUUUGGUUACCACUUAGUGGCAGACGGGUGAGUAACACGUGGGUAACCUACCUCAAAGACUGGGACAACAGUUGGAAACGACUGCUAAUACCGGAUAAUCCAUAUUUAGAUAACUAGAUAUGUUAAAAGAAGCGUUUGCUUCACUUUGAGAUGGGCUUGCGGCGCAUUAGAUAGUUGGUGGGGUAAUGGCCUACCAAGUCGACGAUGCGUAUCCGAGCUGAGAGGCUGAUCGGACACACUGGGACUGAGACACGGCCCAGACUCCUACGGGAGACAGCAGUUAGGAAUAUUCGUCAAUGGGGGAAACCCUGAACGAGCAAUGCCGCGUGAGUGAUGAAGGCCCUAUGGGUCGUAAAACUCUGUUAUAAGGGAAGAAACCUUGGUAUAGGAAAUGAUAUCAAGCUGACGGUACCUUAUCAGAAAGCCCCGGCUAACUACGUG